RNAcentral lists this long non-coding RNA (14486 nucleotides) under Nicotiana tabacum (common tobacco). Its description in RNAcentral is "long non-coding RNA (NTAB_LNC013315)". Lineage: Eukaryota; Viridiplantae; Streptophyta; Magnoliopsida; Solanales; Solanaceae. The record is from RNAcentral.
UUUUUUUUUUUUUCUGUGCUUCUUUGUGUUUAAAUCUCUGUCAUUAUUCUCACUUUUUCUCCCUUUUCCUCUAAAAAUUAUUGUUUUUGAUUUGGUGUUUGGCAGGGAAUUGUCUGUAAUAUAUAAAAUUGUGUCUAACUUUCUAGGAAAAGAGCAAGAGGAACAAACAAAGCCGAAAGAAUGUGACUGUAACGACCCAAUCGGUCGUUUUGACUUUUAGAACCCCGUUACCCUAAAUAAAACUUCCCGUAUGUACUUUAAAUGAUUUAUGACUUGUGGAGAUGGUUGGUUCGUGAUUUGAAAGUGUUUGGGUUGAAAUCGGAACACUUGGUUCCUUAAGUUGGCUUUAAAAGACCAAGUUUGACUUUGGUCAACAUUAUGAGCAAACAAACUCGGAUCAGUAUUUUGACAGUUUCGGUAGGUCUGUAUCGUGAUUUGGGACUUGAGAGUAUGCCCAGAAUCAAAUUCCGAGGUCCCUAGCCCGAGAUAUGGAAUUUUGAUAAAAAAUUAAAAUGUUUAAGUUCAAAUAGUGACCGGAUGUCUAAUUAUGUAAAAACGACCCCGGAAUAUCAUUUUGAUGAUUCCAACAGCUUCAUAUGGUGAUUUUGGAUUUAGGAGCGUAUUCAAAAUUUUAUUUGGAAGUCCAUAGUUAAAUUAGGAUUAAAAUGGUUAAAAAUAAGAAUUUAAGUUUGAAAGUUUGACCGAGGAGUUGACUUUUUGAUACCGGAGUGGGAAUCCAGUUCCAAAAAUUUUUAUAGCUCCGUUAUGUUAUUUAUGACUUGUGUGUAAAAUUUGAGGUCAAUCGGAGUUGAUUUGAUAGGUUUUGACAUAGAAUGUAGAAGUUGGAAAUUUUAAGUUUCAUUAAGCUUGAAUGAGAGCAUAAUUCAUGAUUUUAGCGUUGUUUUAUGUGAUUUGAGAUUUCAAAUAAGUUCGUAUAAUGUUUUAGGACUUGUUGGUAUAUUUGAUUGAGGUCCUGAGGGCCUCAGGUGAGUUUCGGAUGGUUAACGGAUCAAAAGUUGGACUUAAAACAGUUGCUGUAAUUUUUCCUUUCUGCUGGAAAUUCUGGCCCAAAAUCGAGCUCACAAGAAUUGAGGCUGUGAAUCGAGGAUGUGAAUGGAGGCUGCCAAUCGAGGCCGUGAAUAGAGGCUGCCUAGGCAGAAAUAUAAAAGAGGGCAUUCGUCCCAUUCGCUAUUUUUAACAAAUUGGAGCUUGAGCAGAGACGAUUUUUGAUAGAUUUUCAAGGAAAAGAUAUUGGGGUAAGUGAUUCUAACUUGGAUUUGGUCUAUAAACAUAAAUAUAUCAUUGUUUUCACCAUUUAAUUAAUGUUUUGAGAUUGAGAUUUGAAAUUUUUUUAAAAAUCUCAUAGAAAUGAAUUUUUGGAAUUUCGGUAUCGAUUUUGAGUCGGAUUUGAGUGUAACUGGUAUGGUUGGACUCGUAAUUGAAUGAGUUAUUGGAUUUCAUAACCUUCGCCGGAUUCUGAGAUGUGGGCCCCACAGACGAAUUUUUAAUUAAUUUCGGAAUUUUUAUUAAAAAUCUAGUAUUUUCUUAUAGAAUUGGUUCCUAUAAUUUUUAGUGAUUGUAUCAAAUUAUUUUGGCUGGAUUCGAGCCAAACAGAGUUGGAUAAUCGUGGAAAAGACCUUAUAGUGGAUUAAAUUGGAGCAAGACGAGGUAAGUCUCUUGUCUAAUCUUGUGAGGAAAAAAUUUUUCCAUAGGGAUUAAAUUGAAUAAUUGUUGCUAAUUGCGGGGGCUACGUACGCACGAAGUGACGAGAGUCCGUGCGUAGCUACUAUUAAUGCUAAAGUACGGGUAGUUUAGGACUCAAAGCAUGAAUUACUUGUGUAAAUUUUAUUCUUUAUUAAUUAAAAUAGUUGAUGUAUAUAUUGUGAAUUGUUAUGAAAGGGAGAAAAAUAUGAAUUUUUCAUAUGUUUAAUUUUUUUAUUUAGAUUAAUUAAUUGUUGAAAUAAAUUGUUAUCCUCUCGAAUAAAGUUUACAAUAAAUACUCUUAUUCCGGAGGUACAUAAGAAAAUGUCCUCCUUUCUUGUGGAUUGGGCCGAACGCCUCGGCAGGAUAGAUGCAUCUAUGGAUUGUACAGCACGUCCAUCGGCAGUGUACACGAAACUCUGGAUCGGGCCGUACGACCUCGGCAGAAAUCGUGCUUAAUAAUAAUAAUAAUUACACAAUACUUGGAAAGUUUAUUACAGCUUGUAAAGCUAUUUGAUAAAUUGAAAAUUUAUUGAAAUUGAAUUGCAGCUUGUAAAGCUAUUUGAUAAGUUGGAUUUUUUUUAUUGAAAUUGAAGGAUCUAAUUAAUAGAUUAGAAAUUAUUGGAAUUGAAGGAAUUUAAUAACUUAUGCUGGUUCAAUAAAAUUAUUAUUAACUCUGUGAAUCACGUUGAUAUAAAUAUUUCUAUUUUCAUGAUUAUUUAAUAUUAUUGACCCAUAGUGAGUGUCAUAGUCGGCCAUCUCGUCUCUACCUCUUCGAUAUUAAGCUUGAUACUUACUGGGUACAUGUUGUUUUCGUACUCAUACUGCACUUGCUGCACAUUUUAUUGUGUAGGUACAUAUAUGUAUAGCGGCCUUGUGGGCGUAGAGGUGUGGUUAAUAAUUGUGGGGACAUAGGUGAGCUGCAUUGUAUAUUACGAUCCGCAACUAACAGUCUCCUUCAGAGUUAUUAUAUUUUCCUGUCUAAUUUGUAUUCUAGACAGAUGCUGUAUUUUAUUUUAAUUCCCUAGUAAAUGCUCAUGCACUUAUGACACCGGGUUUUGGGAUGAUUAUGUGUUGCACUAUAUUGGAAUUAUUUUUAAAGAUAUUAGUACGUAUUUUGUAAAUGUCAUCUUCUGCUAUUUAAUUGAGGGGAACAACUAGGACUUCAAAAAUAUUAAAAUGAUAAUUUAUUUAGUAUUUAUUGUUGGCUUGUCUGACAGUGGUGUCCGACGCCAUCACGACCUAUAGGUGAAAUUGGAUCGUGACAACAUGGUAUCAGCGCACUAGGUUCACGUAGGUCUCACGAGUCAUGAGCAAGUCUAGUAGAGUCUUGCGGAUCGGUAUAGAGACGUUUGUGCUUAUCUUCGAGAGGCUACAGGGCUGUUAGGAAUACUUCCCUUUUUGAUUCCUCAUCGUGCAAUUCGAUUCCUUUGAGGCUUAUGCUUUCAUUUCCUUCCUACUCAAUCUUAUGCGACGUGAAGCGCUUGUUAUAAAUUGGGGAUCGAGGAAAACUUUAAUGGUACUAUANNNNNNNNNNNNNNNNNNNNNNNNNNNNNNNNNNNNNNNNNNNNNNNNNNNNNNNNNNNNNNNNNNNNNNNNNNNNNNNNNNNNNNNNNNNNNNNNNNNNNNNNNNNNNNNNNNNNNNNNNNNNNNNNNNNNNNNNNNNNNNNNNNNNNNNNNNNNNNNNNNNNNNNNNNNNNNNNNNNNNNNNNNNNNNNNNNNNNNNNNNNNNNNNNNNNNNNNNNNNNNNNNNNNNNNNNNNNNNNNNNNNNNNNNNNNNNNNNNNNNNNNNNNNNNNNNNNNNNNNNNNNNNNNNNNNNNNNNNNNNNNNNNNNNNNNNNNNNNNNNNNNNNNNNNNNNNNNNNNNNNNNNNNNNNNNNNNNNNNNNNNNNNNNNNNNNNNNNNNNNNNNNNNNNNNNNNNNNNNNNNNNNNNNNNNNNNNNNNNNNNNNNNNNNNNNNNNNNNNNNNNNNNNNNNNNNNNNNNNNNNNNNNNNNNNNNNNNNNNNNNNNNNNNNNNNNNNNNNNNNNNNNNNNNNNNNNNNNNNNNNNNNNNNNNNNNNNNNNNNNNNNNNNNNNNNNNNNNNNNNNNNNNNNNNNNNNNNNNNNNNNNNNNNNNNNNNNNNNNNNNNNNNNNNNNNNNNNNNNNNNNNNNNNNNNNNNNNNNNNNNNNNNNNNNNNNNNNNNNNNNNNNNNNNNNNNNNNNNNNNNNNNNNNNNNNNNNNNNUCGGAUGAGCAGGAAAGGUAUUUAGAUGUUUAAAGUAAAAUGGUAUUGUUUUUGGCAUCAUCUAAGGUCGAUGUCAGGUGUACGAGACCUUGUGUAUUGAUUUGUGGAUUCUUGAUAUGCUUUACAACAUUAGUGUAACCGGUAGCAUGUAUGUGCAUACUUGUUACCUGGUGCGAAAGGUCGUAGGAGCGUGUCUCACGGAAAGAUUGUGUAAGAGUGACAUGUAGUCACUUGAUUGAGUGAAGAUUUAAACCAAGUAUGAAGAUUGUGGUAAUAUCGCUGAUUUGAGAAUUUAUGCCUGGAGGGCGCUCGGUUCAUUUGGUUGUGGACUGUGGAAGUUUGUUCCAAUGAUGAUGGCUACUCUUGUGUGUUAUGGGAAAAGGGGUAUUAUGGAUCCUUGAAAGGUUAUUAGCCUAGUACGGUGCGAUCAGAAUCGGCUCGAGGUCUGUGGCUGGAUUUAAAUAUGAAUACGGGCUCUAUAUCAGGCCGAAUGUGUUCAUUUCAGCAUAAAAGCUCCCUAUGGAGGAGUAUUCGGACGUUGGAUGUCGUUUCGUCGUCGGUUAUUUCAUGUAAUACUAUAUUGUGCCGUGUGAGUUAUGAAACGACUUGAUACAUUUCUUAUAUGAUGAGGUUCCGCGUAACGAUGGUGUUAUGUGAGCAGGAUGGCUCUCGAGAUUCAUAUCAUAUAUUGCACCUUAGUUGUGCUUGAGUUUUGUAGCGUAUGGCGCUGUCGGUCCUUCCAGGGAUGAUAUUAUGCACUGAGCGUGCUUGUGUCUGAUAUUCGGAUAUUUUGUAGUAAUGAGCAUUCUAGCUCGGUAAGUAUUUUCUUAUAGAUUCUUUUCGUGCGGAUCGGGUGGCACGCCGCCACGGGUAUGUUGUUUGGAUCGGGUUGCACGCCACAACAGUAUCAUGUGUGGAUCGGGUUGCAUGCCGCAUCAGUAUGAUGUUCAGUACAAUACCCUAUAUUCUAUUUUGUGUGUUUGUGUCCCAUUUUCUGAGGAAGGUUCAUGACACCUUUUCAGUUGUCUAAUUAGUCACGUGGGUCGAGAAAUCCUUUCCAGAGUUCGUGUUUCUUAUGUAUUGCAAUCGAGUCCGUAGCUUAUUAGCUUAUUGUGGCGUCAUAUGAGGCUUUUUAAUCGUGUCUAAGGUGGUUUAUUGCCUGAGCAGCUUAUACUUGGUGAGACGAGAUUAUUGGAUUCGGGAUCAGUGCGAUCGGAUUAUAUGAAGUGUAAUAAAGAGCAAAUACCAUUAUUUGGUUAUAAUGAGGCAAUGAUUCUUGUCAAAAGGAGAAACUCAAUAAUUGUUGACUCGGCAGUUGGUUAUGAAUUUCUACACAUUUCUUCCAUCAUGGAAGCAUUUCAAGAGUUGGAACAUGACUUAUAUGUAUCAUGAGGUGUGUUGUGAACAUCAGAUUCGUGAAAUUUUAGCUCUUGUUAUCGGAGGAUGUUAUUAUAGUCAUGUGAAUGAUGCGGUGCAUGGUCUAAGUUCAAAAAAAGGUAUGCAACCCUAUGUUGGUGCAUCGUGUAGUGAUAGAUACGAUAUUCAUAGGUUGGAAACAAGCAUGGUGGAGAAUUCUAGAUGUUAGAAUUGAGCUCUAAGGCUUAUUUGCCUAAAUAAAGCGGAGAAUUUUCAGAUUGGCUCGAGUUAAUGUGCUCAACUGGAUGUGGUAGCAUGGGUAGGUGCACGAGGUGUUAAACAAUAAUUUUGGAUAACUCCGGAACACUCCUUAGCACGUUCGAGGACGAACAUAUAUUUAAGUGGGAGAGAAUAUAACGACCCAAUCGCUCGUUUUGACUUUUAGAACCCCGUUACCCUAAAUAAAACUUCCCGUAUGUGCUUUAAAUGAUUUAUGACUUGUGGGAAUGGUUGGUUCAUGAUUUGGAAGUGUUUGGGUUGAAAUCGGAACACUUGGUUCCUUAAGUUGGCUUUAAAAGGUCAAGUUUGACUUUGGUCAAUAUUAUGAGCAAACAGACUCGGAUCAGUGUUUUGACAGUUUCGGUAGGUCCGUAUCGUGAUUUGGGACUUGGAAGUAUGCACAAAAUCAAAUUCCGAGGUCCCUAGCCCGAGAUAUGGAAUUUUGAUGAAAAAUUAAAAUGUUUAAGUUCAAAUAGUGACCAGAUGUCUAAUUAUGUGAAAAUGACUCCGGAAUAGAAUUUUGAUGAUUCCAAUAGCUCCGUAUGAUGAUUUUGGAUUUAGGAGCAUAUUUAAAAUUUUAUUUGGAAGUCCAUAGUUAAAUUAGGCUUGAAAUGGCUAAAAACAAGAAUUUAAGUUUGAAAGUUUGAUCGAGGAGUUGACUUUUUGAUACCGGAGUCGGAAUCCAGUUUCGAAAAUUUUCAUAGCUCCAUUAUGUCAUUUAUGACUUGUGUGUAAAAUUUGAGGUCAAUCGGAGUUGAUUUGAUAGGUUUCGACAUCGAAUGUAGAAGUUGGAAAUUUAAGUUUCAUUAAGCUUGAAUGGGAGCAUAAUUCGUGGUUUUAGCGUUGUUUUAUGUGAUUUGAGAUUUCAAAUAAGUUCGUAUGAUGUUUUAGGACUUGUUGGUAUAUUUUGUUGAGGUCCCGAGGGCCUCGGGUGAGCUUCGGAUGGUUAACGGAUCAAAAGUUGGACUUAAAACAGCUGCUGCAAUUUUUCCUUUUUGUUGGAAAUUCUGGCCCAAAAUUGAGGCCCAAAAUCGAGCUCCCAAGAAUCAAGGAUGUGAAUCGAGGCUGCCAAUCGAGGCUGCCAAUCGAGGCCGUGAAUCGAGGCUGCCUGGGCAGAAUUAUAAAAGAGGGCAUUCGUCCCAUUCGCUAUUUUUAACAAAUUGGAGCUUGAACAGAGGCGAUUUUUGAUAGAUUUUCAAGGAAAAGACAUUGGGGUAAGUGAUUCUAACUUGGAUUUGGUCUAUAAACAUAAAUAUAUCAUUGUUUUCACCAUUAAAUUAGUGUUUUGAGAUUGAGAUUUGGAUUUUUUUAGAAAUCUCAUAGAAAUGAAUUUUUGAGAUUUUGGUAUCGAUUCGGAGUCGGAUUUGAGUGAAACUGGUAUGGUUGGACUCGUAAUUGAAUGGGUUGUCGGAUUUCAUAACUUUCACCGGAUUUCGAGAUGUGGGCCCCACAUACGAAUUUUUAAUUAAUUUCGGGAUUUUUAUUAAAAAUCUAGUAUUUUCUAUAGAAUGAUUCCUAUAAUUUUUAGUGAUUAUAUCAAAUUAUUUUGGUUAGAUUCGAGCCAAACAGAGUUGGAUAAUCGUGGAAAAGACCUUAUAGUGGAUUAAAUUGGAGCAAGACGAGGUAAGUCUCUUGUCUAAUCUUGUGAGGGGGAAAUUACCCCAUAGGGAUUAAAUUGAAUAAUUAUUGCUAAUUGCGGGGGCUACGUACGCACGAGGUGACGAGAGUCCGUGCGUAGCUACUAUUAAUGCUAAAGUUCGGGUAGUUUAGGACUCAAAGCAUGAAUAUUUGUGUAAAUUGUAUUCUUUAUUAAUUAAAAUAUUUGAUGUAUAUAUUUUGAAUUGUUAUGAAAGGUUGAAAAAUAUGAAAUUUUCACAUGUUUAAUUUUUUUUUGUUUAGAUUAAUUAAUUGUCAAAAUAAAUUGUUAUCCUCUCGAAUAAAUUUUACAAUAAAUACUCUUAUUCCGGAGGUACAUAAGAAAAUGUCCUCCUUUCUUGUGGAUCGGGGCGAACGCCUCGGCAGGAUAGAUGCAUCUAUGGAUUGUACAGCACGUCCAUCGACAGUGUACACGAAACUCUGGAUCGGGCCGUACGACCUCGGCAGAAAUCGUGCUUAAUAAUAAUAAUAAUUACACGAUACUUGGACAGUUUAUUAUAGCUUGUAAAGCUAUUUGAUAAAUUAAAAAUUUAUUGAAAUUGAAUUGCAGCUUGUAAAGCUAUUUGAUAAGUUGGAUUUUUUUUAUUGAAAUUGAAGGAUCUAAUUAAUAGAUUAGAAAUUAUUGGAAUUGAAGGAAUUUAAUUACUUAUGCUGGUUCAAUAAAAUUAUUAUUAACUCUGUGAAUCACGUUGAUAUAAAUAUUUCUAUUUUUAUGAUUAUUUUAUAUUAUUGACCCAUAGUGAGUGUUAUAGUCGGCCAUCUCGUCUCUACCUCUUCAAGAUUAAGCUUGAUACUUACUGGGUACACGUUAUUUUCGUACUCAUACUGCACUUGCUGCACAUUUUAUUGUGCAGGUACAUAUAUGUACAACGGCCUUGUGGGCGCAGAGGUGUGGUUAAUAAUUAUGGGGACAUAGGUGAACUGCAUUCUAUAUUACGAUCCGCAGCUAACAGAGUCUCUUUCAGAGUUAUUAUAUUUUUUUGCCUAAUUUGUAUUCUAGACAGAUGCUGUAUUUUAUUUUAAUUCCCUAGUAAAUGCUCAUGCACUUGUGACACCGGGUUUUGGGAUGAUUAUGGGUUGCACUAUAUUGGAAUUCUUUUUAAAGAUAUUAGUACGUAUUUUGUAAAUGUCAUCUUCUACUAUUUAAUUGAGGGGAAUAACUAGGACUAUAUUAAAAUGAUAAUUUAUUUAGUAUUUAUUGUUGGCUUGUCUGACAGUGGUGUCCGACGCCAUCACGACCUACAGGUGAAAUUGGAUCGUGACAGUGACUAUGCCACACAUAUCAGGAAGAAAAAUCAUUCUCAAAUUAUAAAUAAGGUAUGCCAUAUUCACUAUCUGCUUUCUGCAAUUUAUAUAUCCGUACUUGUUUUCUUAAAUUUCUUUGAUACACCUUUUUACUAUGUAAACAGAUGAAAAAAAAGAAUGGUGUAAUACCAAGUCGUAUUAAGGUGUUAAAAAUAACACAUAUGAGAAAGAAUGACCAACCAGUAAAUGAUAGAUGGUGAAGUUAUGAUAAAUUUUUAUUCUUUAUUAUAAAAAUUUAUAACUUUUUAUUGCUUGACUCAUUCUUACAAAAAGAAAGAAGUGAAUGAACUUGCUAAGGUGUGUCUGAGUUAAAUGUUCUUGGAAUUGCUCUCAAUGAAUCUCCAAGUUUUGUUUACUGCCAUGUAUAUAAACUUCUAUAUUAUAAUUUAGUUUCUUUUAGUUAUAAUAAUCUUCCUAUUUUGUGAUAGAUUUCUGAUAACUCAAUUGAAGAUCGCCAACAAUCACUAUCGCCUAUAUUUCAGUUGUUCAGACAAAUAAGGUAAGUUUGUACACUUGUUUAAACUAUAUAUUUUUAUACUUAGAUUCGAAGAGUAGGAAAUAUCUUUGGCAUUUGAUACUUUUGCUUUUACUUGAACUGGGUAAAAGAAUUUAUAUCAACGUUGUUUGAUCAUAUGGGUAAAUGCUGUCAUGUUCUGUUAUCUUCUUAUUCUUAAUAAAGUAUCUUUCAUAAAAUGAAAAAUAUUAUGUGGCUUUAUCUUAUUUUUUUGUAUCUAAUAUUCUAUAAUUUGCUAAGUUUUGAAUUUUGUACACGAUCAAAGUAACCAAUUUAAUAUUUCUUCUCAGGUUUAACAAUCAAGAAGACGGGAAUUAGUGAAGUAGGCACAUAGAAAAACUGGGUAAAUUUGAUAAUAUUACAAGAUACUGUUUUUUUUUUUUUGUCUUAUUUUCUCUGUUUGUUUUCUCUCUUCAGUUGCUGCUAUUAUACCCAUUAUUCAAUAUGUUUGUUUUUUCCGAAUCCCAAUCUGUUAUUUUUUUUGGUAUCCCAAUUUGUUAUAGUCGAGGAGGAAAGAAUUCCCUUUAUUAUAGUUAUAAAUCUUUUUUUUCUGUAUGACUUCUCGUGCAACAUUUUUGAAGGAAGUGAGGUCAAUUACUGGUAAUGAAAAUCUUGACUUGUGGAGAGGUGGUUUCAACAAGCUUUGUUACAGGAUUUAGUCUAGAAUUUAAGGGAAUUCAUUCGAAUUAGGAGUAAUCUUAACGUAAUUACAUGUGAAAAUAACUAUCUUUUAUGAUUUAGUUGAAUUUGAGUUUUACUUUGAGAACAAAUCAUUUGAUUUGGUAUCAUCUAUCUUGUACAAAGUAUUUUUUAUACCGCUACUUUGUUCUUUAGUUAUAGUAUUAAAAGGCAUUUGUUUUACAUACAUUUCAAGUUAGUUAUAAAAGAUGAUAUUUGUGAAUGUACAAAUUGAAUGUAAAGUAUUGUGGUGAAACUAAAUAGAGGAUUAUUAUUAAUAUUUUAAAAUUUUGGUACCGGCAUUAAUCUAAAUAUCGGAAUUUUUAAUACGACAUUUUAAACAGUUGUAAAAAAUGUCACUAAUCGGUUUUUGAAAUUCAUGUAAAUGUGGAUACGACAUUUUCAUAAAUGUCGUAAAUUUACCUACUAGCAUUAAAGAAAAAUGUCGGUAAUUUUAAGUGACGUUUCAUAGAUGUAUUAAACUAAAUGUCGUAAAAAACUUAUUGACGUUUAUCUAAAUAUCAUAAAUUAAGUGUCAUAAAUUUCUUAUUGACAUUUACGUAAAUGUCAUAAACUACAUGUCGUAAAAUUCAUACCAACAUUUUCCUAUAUGUCGGAAAAUUAACGACAUUGAAAUUUACGACAUUUGAUGCAAAUGUAAAAUAAAUGUCGCUAAACGAAUUUGCGACAUUUAAGCAUCUUAAUAUGAAAUUUAAUAAAUGUCGUCAUAUCUCUAAUUUCUUGUAGUGUUGGUAUGUGAAGCUUAGGUUUUGGGUUCGCAGUGAUCUGUGUGAUUGAGAUGAACUCAGCAACUUAGGUCUUAAUUUUGGUUUGGUGAGCGAUUGAGGUUGUGUGGUUAAAUAGGUUAGAAUUCCUAUUAAGUCAAGUGUUCCCCAGUAUGAAAGGUAUUAAGGUGGAGUUUGGGGUUUUGAGGGAGGCAUUUUUUGUGUUGAUGGUAGUGUCUUUGAUACACGUAUCCUUUAAUCGGUGGACAAAGUUGUGCGUUUGUGGUUUUUGGAGAUUGAACAAAGUCCAUAAGUGGUAUGAACUUUUUUCUUCUUCUGAAAAGUUCUACAUGCCUUAUUGGAUUGAUUUUCUAUACAAACGUUGUGCACUAUUAUGAGUUUUCUUUUAUUCUAAAUAACUGGCUAGAAAUUAAGUGAGAUAUCCAUUCGAUUUCUAAAAAGGAUUACUAAUCCUUAACUUUUCUAGGAAUCCUUCAUUAGUGGUUAUGGAUGACUGAUUUUUUCAAUCUUUUUGACCUUGGUUUCGUAGGAACAAGUCAGAAAGAUUGAGAAAUAGAACUAUCUGAUUUAAUUCGUUCUCAAUAGCCUCGAGACGAUCAUCUUAGGGUGAUCCUUUUGUCGACUGAUGCACUCCACCACAACAUCUGCCGCAAUACGCGAAGAAAUACUAGAAGGCACAAGCGCUUUUCCCUAAUUAGUCUUUAAUAAAAACUGAUAAAAUAAUUUAGUUAUUACAUAGCAUAGAGAUAGACCACAUUGCGAUUUUCCCUAAUUAGUCUUUAAUAAAAACUGAUAAAAUAAAAGUCGGAGGUAUUUCCCAGUACAUAAUGUUAUCUUCCUCUAUUGAUAUAUAUUGUCUGUUGCUUCCACACUUGGCCAAGGUGUCUGCUACAGUGUUGCCUUCCCGGUAUACAUGUGUUAUUUCUGUCACUCCAAUAGCAUCAAGAAGAAAACUACAGUCACGAAGAAGAUGUGAGUAGCGAAAUUGUUCGUCUUUAAAUAAGUUACAUAAUACCCGUGAAUCUGUUUCCACUACAGUGAGAAAGAGAUUUUUUUGUGAAGGAUAGUUCUAGUCCAGUCAUUAGUACUAGCAGUUCAGCGUGAAGAGCGUCUGUUGCAGCUGCCUUGUGCGCGAAUCCCACUAUCCACUUAUCUCUGAUGAUUCCACCAGUUCCACUGUUUUGAUUAUUUUGAUCAUAAGCUCCAUCAAUGUUUAGCUUGUAAUGGUUAGUAGGUGGGUGCCAUCUUAUUGGUAUGUGAAGCUUAGGUUUUGGGUUCGCAGUGAUCUGUUCGAUUGAGAUGAACUCAGCAACUUGGGUCUUAAUUUUGGUUUAGCAAGCGAUUGAGGUUGUGUGGUUAAAUAGGUUAGAGUUCCUAUUAAGCCAAGUGUUCCAAAGUAUGAAAGGUAUUAAGGCGGAGUUUAGAGUUUUGAGGGAGGCAUUUGUUGUGUUGAUGGUAGUGUCUUUGAUACACGUAUCCUUUAACCAGUGGACAAAGUUGUGCGUUUGUGAUUUUUGGAGAUUGAACAAAGUCCAUAAGUGGUAUGAACUUUUUUUUUCCUGAAAAGUUCUACAUGCCUUAUUGGAAUGAUUUUCUAUACAAACGUUGUGCACUAUUAUGAGUUUUCUUUUCUUCUAAAUAACUGGCUAAAAAUUAAGUGAGGAAUCCAUUCGAUUUCUAAAAAGGAUUACUAAUCCUUAACUUUUCGAGGAAUCCUUCAUUAGUGGUUGUGGAUGACUAAUUUUUUCAAUCUUUUCGACCUUGGUUUCGUAGGAACAAGUCAGAAAGAUUGAGAAAUAGAACCAUCUGAUUUAAUUCGUUCUCAAUAGCCUCGAAAUGAUCAUCCUAGGGUGAUCCUUUUGUCAACGGAUGCACUCCACCACAACAUCUGCUGCAAUACGCGAAGAAAUACUAGAAGGCACAAGCGCAUAUCAUUUUAAAUGAGGUUCUUGACUAAAAAUCAAAUUGGCUAUACCAUUAACUACCAAAUUAGUAUGAACAAUAAAGACCACCCAAUUCUUAGCCAAGAGAUGACGAAGCGGUUGAUAAUAUUUCCAUUCCGAUGAGGCAUAGACCCUCCAGACCGCACUAUUAGAACUUUAGUAGCAUAUAUAUUACAAGAAAAAAAGAUUCGAAAUGAUUAAUUUGAGAAACUGAAACAAUCAUGGUUUAAAGUACUUUAAUGCCUUUCAAAUUGUCUAAAUUUAUCUGCCAAAAUUGAUUGGUUUCUAUUUUGCGAAAAUAGUGAUUUUCGUAAUGAAACAAAUUUUAUGACAGCUAUUCUUCGUUCCCUUACCUUUUUUUUUUUCGUUUUCCUAAAUUUUUAUUGAGGUUGCAAGAUCUCUACGUUGGUCUUUUGAUAUAAUACACUAUAAAAGGAAAAAAGUUUUUUUACCAAAAAAUUGUAAAACAGUUGGGUAAAAACUUUAUUACUGUCUUGGCAAAUGUUAGUAUCCCACAUUAUGUCUUCCAUGUUCCAGUUACCAGACCCGGGCGUGCAAAAGGGUAGGUAUUAGUAUCUCAUAUGGAUGGUGAAUGUGGCAAUUUGUCAAUUCUCACAUUAUAAGCGAGUUUUUAGGGUUGAGUUAAAUCAGAGAUCUAUAUUUUAUAAAAAAUAAGAAGACAGAAAGUGAUACCCUUUCACAUAUAUAAAAGCUUUUAUCUAGUAUUAUACAAUUCUCCUCUUGGAAAAGCGUAACGGAGAUUUCAAAAAAUGUAAAUAUAGACUGUGUUUUAAUUUCCUUCGUUUAGUUGCAGCUCUACAACAUAUGGUCUUUGUAGUUAACACGUAGUUUGAGUUUUAGUAUUUCUUCUAAGUUUCUUUUCCUGAAAAACUAAUGCGUUUACGGGAAAAAAAAUUAAUGCGUUUGGAGAUUUCGUUUGAAAUUUUCUCGUCCAAUAAAUCACAUAUAUUUGGUGUAGACAUAUUAUUUUAAAGUUAUGGUUAUUGACAUCUGUGUUUUUUUUAAUCAACUGUUUGCAGACAGAAAUUGCCAUAUUAUAGUUCCACUUUGAAAGCAAAAAGAAAUUUGAAUACACAAAGAAAAAGAAAAGAAAACAGAAUACAAAAUCACCUUCACAAUAAAAUGAAAUGAAAUAUAAACUCUCUCUUCGGAAAAUGAAGAACAGAUAGAUCCUUAUUUUGACAUGAGAAAAAGAAAAAGUAUAAUCGUCAAAAAAUAUAAAGUAUGUAUUAAUUCUUUAUAAGAAUAAUUACAUUACAUAUAAAAUUCUCAAAUGAGAAUUACAAUAAAUUUCUGACAAUGUUAGAAUCGAGAAAAGAGAUGAAGAAAAUGAAACAAAUACAAAAACAAGAACAAAAAAUAUGUAACAAGAUGCAUAUGGAUCCAACAAAAAAGAUUAUAAUAUAAUCAUCAACAUGUAUAUUAUAUAAUCUCCACAAAUAUAUAUAAUUAUUUCUUGGUAAGCUUGUUCUUGUUAUACUUAACCUUGAACCAAUUAGCACUAACACUGGCUCCUUCUUUAACUUUCCUCAUUCCUGCAGAAGCUGCUAUCUUUGUUUUCUCCAUUCCUACUUCAAAUUUCUCACUUACCCUACGAGAAAGCUUCGGUUUAUUGCCGAGUCGCUUUGGAUCAGUAGGCUGAGGAUUUGCAUUUUUGGUAUUUGAUUCCCAUGCACUUUCAAGACUCAUUGUUUUGAGAUAUAUUCUUCUUCACCACCUCAAGAAAAAAAAAAUUAUGAAUUUUUUCACAAUUUUUUUUUCCUUCAAAAGGAGAAGGGGUGGAGAAGGAAGAAAAUUCUUGUUGGGAAUAGUUUUUUUGCCUUUGAUUAAUUUGUUGGUGAAGAAGUUGAGAUCUCUUUUUAUAUGGAGAAAUGGAUGGCUCACGUUAUGGUUGUUUGGUUGAAUGUACACUCCUCAAAUUGAUGUUUCUUCUUAUAGAAAAAAAGGAAAGAAAAAAGGGAGGAAUUUUGUGGAUUUUUCAGUUUCUGUUUUCUUGAUCCUAAUAAUAUUUUUCCCUUUUAUAUAUGGUCUAGGGUCUGUGGAUAAGAAAAAAGAAAAAGAG